AUGGGGCAGGCGUCUAAGCGACUUCCGGUGAGGUUGCAAAUUUCGUUCUCCGUCAACAUGGUUUUCAGCGGUGGUUUGGCAUUGGGCCGCGAGAUCCUUCUCGGCGCACUCGUUUUCAUCGCCGACGACUCUGCCUGGCUUCAAGAAGCUCCCCUCAAUGUUGAGGCCCUCGCCGUUCGCAGGGCGACGCACUUCCGUGCGAGUGCUUGCGGUGUUCUUCUUCGACAGUCACCGACCCAGUAUCGGCUGGCUCUUGUGUCAUCAUCACUCCCCGCCGUCCGCCGUCGCAAGCGGUCCGGCCGUUCGCGGCUCCAACUGUGGGUGAAGCAUGCGGUGGCUCGUCAAUCGGCCACCCCUCAAGUUGCGGCGAUUGAGCCCGAUGAAUAUCUUUACGAUCUGUUCGAUCUGCCGACUGGUCACUCGGAUUCCCUGUCCGAGUGCGAGAGCAAUAAUUCAGCGGCAGAAGUCCUCGUGGUUAACUCCCAGCAUGGUCCGCCUGGAUUUUGUCGCAACGGCGGUGGCGGCGACGACGGCGGUGCUGGCCCGUCACAAGAUAAUGAUGAGUAUGUUGCCGAGGCCCUCACUGCGGAGCAGAGCGAAGAGCUGCAUCGUCACAACGUCCAGGCGCUCCAGACCCCCAUCAUUGGGGAGACCUUAGAGGCUCGGGUCUUGGAGGCUGCGCGCUUGGCCACCUUGGCCGAGCGUACGCAUUUGAAGAAUCUGCAGAAGGCACUCGACGAGCGCGCUCGUCAGCGGAUCCCCGAAUCCAGUCAACGCGCGCGACGGUUGUUUUCGACUAAAACUCGGGUAUACCAUACUUCGAUCCAAAAUGUUGCAGCAGUAGCACGCAUAGCAGAGUCAAUUCAGCUGUCACGUUCAGAAGCUGGUAGAGGUUUGGAGCAGAUCCGAGCAUUGCUUUAA
Molecule: ribosomal RNA, 921 nt
Filed under: Triticum aestivum (bread wheat)
Lineage: Eukaryota; Viridiplantae; Streptophyta; Magnoliopsida; Poales; Poaceae
Description: partial small subunit ribosomal RNA
Source: RNAcentral